This is a long non-coding RNA of Python bivittatus (Burmese python), 546 nucleotides long. RefSeq lists it as uncharacterized. NCBI's taxonomy places the organism in Eukaryota, Metazoa, Chordata, Lepidosauria, Squamata, Pythonidae. The record is from RefSeq and is a predicted model, not a curated record.
GCGUGCUCUCGGGGGGAAAGGGCAGAAAGGCCUCUCCAGGCAGUCUGCGGAGCGGGAAUUCCCUAACUGCCCCCGCAUUGUAAUCAGCUUUAAAAACAGAAGACUCAUCCAAUUUUGGACACUCAGAUUUGUUUCAAAGUAUGAGAAGGCCAUCCUCAAAUCAGAGCUUUCUUCAUGUUGGGAAAAAAAAUAUAUCCCCAGGAAAUCUCCUCAAACGGCACAUUUUCCCUCAGACUUCGGCCUUUUCCUCAGCGGCCUCCGGCCUUUUCCAGCUACUGUUGUGCCAAUACAUCGUUAAUGAAGACCGUCAGAUAAGAAAUUUUACCUGAGCCGUGCAAAGAAACUCAUCCAGCACACCAGUAAAGAAAUAAAAUCCACCUUGGUGUUUGGCAUAUGUCUUUCUCCUUUCCCCCCUCACCUGCCAUACCACCAUGCAGAUGUAUUCUACUUUACCUCUGAAAAAGAAGGAAAAGAGGAUGGAAGAUGCUGAUACAGCUGCUUGAAUAAAGAGAUGCCCUGUUAAGCUGCAAUCUGUAACUCACUAGG